CAAUAGCGUAUAUUAAAGCUGUUGCAGUUAAAAGCUCGUAGUCGGAUUUCGGGUGGCGGCCAAUGGUUCGGCUCCGUGCCGAUACUGCUGGUCGUAGCCUCCACGCCGGUCGUCUUUCGGUGCUCUUAACUGAGUGCCUUAAGUAGCCGGAGCGUUUACUUUGAAAAAUUAGAGUGUUCAAAGCAGGCCUCGAGCCUGAAUGAUGUUGCAUGGAAUAAUUGAAUAGGACCUCGGUUCUAUUUUGUUGGUCUUCGGAACUGGAGGUAAUGAUUAAUAGGGACAGACGGGGGCAUUCGUAUUGCGGCGUUAGAGGUGAAAUUCAAGGAUCGUCGCAAGACGGACUACUGCGAAAGCAUUUGCCAAGAAUGUUUUCAUUGAUCAAGAGCGAAAGUCAGAGGAUCGAAGAUGAUUAGAUACCAU
RNAcentral lists this ribosomal RNA (420 nucleotides) under uncultured eukaryote. Its description in RNAcentral is "SSU rRNA". It matches the Rfam family "Eukaryotic small subunit ribosomal RNA", at positions 592 to 1018 of the family's 1831-position model. The record is from RNAcentral.